RNAcentral lists this unclassified non-coding RNA (174 nucleotides) under uncultured Penicillium. RNAcentral's name for it is "sequence contains ITS1". Lineage: Eukaryota; Fungi; Ascomycota; Eurotiomycetes; Eurotiales; Aspergillaceae. The record is from RNAcentral.
CCGAGUGAGGGCCCUCUGGGUCCAACCUCCCACCCGUGUUUAUCGUACCUUGUUGCUUCGGUGGGCCCGCCGUUCAGGCCGCCGGGGGGCAUCCGCCCCCGGGCCCGCGCCCGCCGAAGACACCAUUGAACGCUGUCUGAAGAUUGCAGUCUGAGCGAUUAGCUAAAUCAGUUA